GUCGUUGCUCCUUCUUCUUCUUCUUCGUUUUCGAAUCCCCUGAAGACCGAAAGAUUCAGGCAUUAACAGAGGGGAUUGACGAAUAAUGCCGGGGUCUAAUCUUUCACACUUGACAUUUCAUCCACCUUCUUCACUCUCUACAUCUCCAAGAUCGGUUGCUUCUUGUUUGGUGUCUCUUAACUCUCCUUGCAGGAGGCUCUCUUCCAACUUCUCGCUUCCCAUUGUCCUCAGGAAGCCUAGUUGUAGUUUGAUUUCUUUGGGGAGAGUCCAUGGUGGAACCUUGAUACCUCUACGCCAUUUUUACUGAUUUUUUUCUCAGAACUAUGGGACAAGACUUUUUUCAUUGCAGCUCUCCUAGCAGCUAGGAACUCUGCUGCUAUUGUUUUUACUGGAACUUUGGUGCUUUUGCAUAU
Molecule: long non-coding RNA, 413 nt
Organism: Cucurbita maxima (winter squash)
Lineage: Eukaryota; Viridiplantae; Streptophyta; Magnoliopsida; Cucurbitales; Cucurbitaceae
Exons: 4
Source: RefSeq, a predicted model, not a curated record